AAGUCGAACGGGAAACCUUUUAUUGAAGCUUCGGCAGAUUUAGCUGGUUUCUAGUGGCGGACGGGUGAGUAACGCGUGGGUAACCUGCCUUAUACAGGGGGAUAACAACCAGAAAUGGUUGCUAAUACCGCAUAAGCGCACAGGACCGCAUGGCCCGGUGUGAAAAACUCCGGUGGUAUAAGAUGGACCCGCGUUGGAUUAGCUAGUUGGCAGGGUAACGGCCUACCAAGGCGACGAUCCAUAGCCGGCCUGAGAGGGUGAACGGCCACAUUGGGACUGAGACACGGCCCAGACUCCUACGGGAGGCAGCAGUGGGGAAUAUUGCACAAUGGGGGAAACCCUGAUGCAGCGACGCCGCGUGAAGGAAGAAGUAUCUCGGUAUGUAAACUUCUAUCAGCAGGGAAGAUAGUGACGGUACCUGACUAAGAAGCCCCGGCUAACUACGUGCCAGCAGCCGCGGUAAUACGUAGGGGGCAAGCGUUAUCCGGAUUUACUGGGUGUAAAGGGAGCGUAGACGGACUGGCAAGUCUGAUGUGAAAGGCGGGGGCUCAACCCCUGGACUGCAUUGGAAGCUGUUAGUCUUGAGUGCCGGAGAGGUAAGCGGAAUUCCUAGUGUAGCGGUGAAAUGCGUAGAUAUUAGGAGGAACACCAGUGGCGAAGGCGGCUUACUGGACGGUAACUGACGUUGAGGCUCGAAAGCGUGGGGAGCAAA
RNAcentral lists this ribosomal RNA (712 nucleotides) under uncultured Lachnospiraceae bacterium. RNAcentral describes it as "bacterial SSU rRNA". It matches the Rfam family "Bacterial small subunit ribosomal RNA", at positions 59 to 772 of the family's 1533-position model. Lineage: Bacteria; Bacillati; Bacillota; Clostridia; Lachnospirales; Lachnospiraceae. The record is from RNAcentral.